Long non-coding RNA from Stomoxys calcitrans (stable fly), 1110 nucleotides. RefSeq lists it as uncharacterized. The transcript has 4 exons. The record is from RefSeq and is a predicted model, not a curated record. Lineage: Eukaryota; Metazoa; Arthropoda; Insecta; Diptera; Muscidae.
CUGGCCGAACUUACCGAACUGGAUACCCACCACCUUGGAUAUAUAUAUAUCCUUAUAUAUAUAUAUAUAUAUAAGCUAUAUCCAAAUCUGUAUCGAUCUGCGGGACAGGGAUGUCGAGUUGCAUAAAAUAACUCGCUUUAUCAAAUUUCAACGAAAUCGGACAAUAAAUACACCUGUUAUUGACCCAAGACGCUAAAGGGGAGAUCGGUCCAUAUGCCACUUAUAUCCCAAAAAAAAAAAGGAUCUUAAACAUACUCGAUCGGUAUAAAUGGCAGCUAUAUCCAAAUCUUGACCGAACUUGGCCAUAUUGAACAUGGAUAUCGAGGAGCCUAACUAAGCCCUGAAACAAAUUCCAGCGAAAUCGCACAUAGGCGGAAAAGUUAAAACAUUUUCAACGUUGACAAUUAAAAGCGAGCGUCAUUCUGUGCUUCCACACAUUUUCAUUUUUCAACACGAAGUUUAAGUUAAUGAAAAUGGGAACACAAAACUGCUAAAAGAGUUGAGGAAUCCAGCCAUGUUAAAACUUCUCUACCAAGUAUUGUAGUUUCAUUGAUAUGAGAGAAGUAUCAUUAAUUCAUUAAUUUUUAUGGGAAAUUUUAUAUUUAUAUACAUAUGUCAUUGGUGGAGGAUGACUUGUAUUCGGCCCAGCCAAAAUGAACACAAUAUAAACGACAAUCUAUCUUUCUUGGCGUCCAAUAUUCAAGUUGGGUUGAGAGACUCAAUGCACCUUAAUGAACAGGGAGCCGACGUUAGAACAAUCACCAACUUUCAAGUAGCCUAUUUACUGAAGGACCAAUGAUUGGGGUCAUCCACACGCUCUGAUGGAGAACAUCAGCAAGGGCAAGUUCAUAUUGCCUUAAUUCAGAAGCCAUGGACUGCCCGGAACAAAGUUUCUGGACCGAACAUAUCAACUACCCAUUAUUCUAUGCUACCACUGGUACUCCGAAGGCCGAAGACCUGCGUGAUUUGUCAUACAAUUUUAAAUUAUAUAUUUUCCCCAGAGUUGUCAACUUCGAACGCAACAGGCAUUAGACAGGGAGACGGUGAAGCAUACCUGGCAUCACUUUAUCUGUCUUUCGACUCUACGACACCGCUACCCUCGUUAGCGCU